This 220-nucleotide microRNA precursor is filed under the name Oryza sativa (Asian cultivated rice). Its description in RNAcentral is "partial microRNA MIR438q-1 precursor". The record is from RNAcentral. Lineage: Eukaryota; Viridiplantae; Streptophyta; Magnoliopsida; Poales; Poaceae.
CUCUACCUCUGUCCUAAAAUAAGUGCAGUUGUGGAUAUCCGUGUCCAACGUUUGAUCAUCCGUCUUAUUUCAAAAAAUUUAAAAUAUAGUCACACAUAUAGUACUAUUCAUGUUUUAUCAAUGAAAAUACAUAUCAUAAUUUUUUUUUCAAAUAAAACGAAGUAUGAAACAUUGGGCAUAAACAAUGCAAAACUGUAUUUAUUUUGGGAUGGAGGGAGUA